UUUAUUUAUUUUAUUAUAAUUGUUUUUUGUUAGUUUAUUUUUUAAUAAAAGAAAUUUUAUUUAUUAUUUUGUCUUAGUAUAUUUUAUAGAAUUGAUUAUUUUUGUUAUAGUUUAAUAGUAAUGUAAUUGGAUUAUGAAAUAAUUUUUUAAUUAUCAAAAAGUAGAUUUAAUUUGUUGUAUCUUUUGUAUCAGGGUUUAUUAAAUUUUUAGUAUUUAUUUACUAAUCUCGAUUUAGGUUGAUUUACAAAUAAAUUAAAGUUAAUGUGUCAUAAUUAUUUUUAAUUUAUUUGUAGAAAUGAAAUGUUAAUCGUUUCCUAAUAUAUCUAGUUUCUUAAGAAAAAAUUUAAUUUUUUAAAGUCAACAGUUUUUAUUUACUUUUAUAUGUUGAAAUGUUGACUUAUUUAUUCUUUAGGGGAUAAGCUCUAGAGUUUUCCUAUAAUUUUAUUAAUUUUGAUUUAAUAGUAAGCUUUAAACCAGCUAUCUUUUUUAUUACGUUUUAGUUCAUUAUUUAUUAUUUUGAUUUUAUAAUUAUUUUAGGUUUAAUAUUAAGAUUAUUAAUUUAAUUUUUAAUUAUUGUAAUAAUGAUAGAAUUAGUAUAUAUUUAUUGUUUAUAAUAUUUUAUUAUGUUAAUUUAUUAUAAGGAAUUAGGCAAAAGUGAUUUCCGCCUGUUUAUCAAAAACAU
This 682-nucleotide ribosomal RNA is filed under the name Hesperotettix viridis (snakeweed grasshopper). Its description in RNAcentral is "partial 16S ribosomal RNA". Lineage: Eukaryota; Metazoa; Arthropoda; Insecta; Orthoptera; Acrididae. The record is from RNAcentral.